UCUAAUUUUUGUGUUGUUCUAAUAUUUACACCCCACUCUCUUUAAUGGUAUAUGGAUUAGAAAUCCCAGAGCUAGUCUGAGGGCAUUUGAAGUCAUCUUUUCUUGUUCUUAACUUAGUUAAUGCAGAUAUUUUUCAUCCUGUUAGGAACAUGUCCUUCUAGUAUUGGUUCAUGAAGGGACUUUUUAUGAAGAAGAAUCAAUUCUGAAUGUUCUCAGGGUCUUUUCUGUUCUGAUUAAGACAUUCAUCUAUUUUUAUGUUUUGACUCAUUUUGUAAAUUACAUGCGUUUCUCUUAAUUUUCAGGCUUGCAUCCCUAGGGUAAAGAGAUCUUGGUAAUGGGGUGUUAUUAUGCACUUUUAGGUUUGAAUUGCUUAUAUUUCAUUUAUGAAUUUUACAUCUAUAUUCAUAAGUGAGAUUAGGCUUUUUAAAUUCUUGUCAAAUUUUGGAUUAAUAACCAACUUUCUUUUAUCUCAUCUUUCCUGUAUUAUUUCAUAGCAUCUGUUUUGACAUCUAAAAAGUUCCUCUCAAUUCUGUUAUAAUAUUUUUAGAAACAUGUUCUCUAUAAAGUAGAAGGCAGCAUGCCCUAUAACUCAGCAAUUCUCCCCUGAGGCAGAAACCGGUUCAGGCCUUAGCUUAUUAUGGUUCAGGUAGAUAUACAUAUGUGUGCUGAUAUGUGUUGUAGACAUACAUACAUGUGCUGUGAGACAUGUGUAAGGAUGCUCAUGGCUGCCAGUAGCAGCAUGUCAGAAAUUACUUACAUGCUACUAGUAGUGAAAUAUGUUUAUUAAACAUGUGCAAUUGUCCUAGAGACAGCUUUGGCCAGUAUCUCUCUUAAGCGGCUGAUGGGUGGAAAGCCCAGAGCUCUUGGUAAGCACAUUGUUUCAUUCAUCCUUGUUGCAUGUCAUCAACAAGGAGUGUGUGUGUGUGUGUGUGUGUGAAAGUCUCUGUAUGUAUGUCUGUAUGUCUGUGAUGGGCCUUAGUAAGAUAUAAACCAUCAUCUUAGAUUAUCUUAUAUUAUGUUUUAGAAUAAGGCCUAAGUUUUAUGUGUGUGUGUGUGUGUGUGUGUGUGUGUGAGAGAGAGAGAGAGAGAGAGAGAGAGAGAGAGUAUGUGUGCAUGCAUGUAGAAGCCAGAGGUUGAUGUUGGAUGCUUUAAGCAAUCACUCUCCACCUUAUUUUUAAAGACCACCUCUUACUGAACGUGGCACUUGCUGUUUUGACUAGAUCAUCUGGCCAAGAAGUUCUAGGAAUCCUCCUGUCUCUGCCUCCCAAGCUCUGGGGUUACAGCCAAGAACCUGGAGCUUCAAGGAUGGAACUCCAGGACCCUGCUUACUGCUCAGAGGAGUGGAACUUGGACAUCCUAAAAGGCGUCCUGAACUGCUAGUUAGUAACCCAGCCCCGGAGCCCCACACUCUACAGAUUACUGUGCUUCUGAUGCGUUGCUGAAUCCAGGAUCUGCCUUGCUGGUCUACUGCAGAGGGCACGUGUUCUUUCUCCACAUGUGUUUCAGCUGACUGAUACGCCUGUGCUAACCCAGCUCGGGGUCUCAGAGGGGUGGCUGCUCACAGGUCACAGUCCUUCCUGUGUCCUAUUUCCAAGCAAGGAGAGUACUGUACUUCCUAUGCCGAAUCAGGGACAUGAUACUAGACCCCCAAGUGGUGGGUCUUUAUUUAUUUUUUUAAUGCAUUCAUUUUUCGUAAUGUACUACCCGGGUCCUAUAGGGGAACGCCAUUUCUCCCUUGCAGCCCUUAGCUUCUGAUAUGCUGUGACCAGGACAUGUGACACAUUCCCUUUUGGGUUUAGUUUUGGUCUUCCUAGAACCUGUUAGGAAAGAAGCUCAUGAUGUGGCUGUAAGUCAACCUUGCCUUCACUAUGUACCGAGAAAAGUAGAAGUUGACUUCUUCUAGCCAAGGAGACUCUGGGCAAAGCAAGAUAUCUGGAACAGGAUCCUUAGGUAUUUCUUCCCAUCACUGUUGUUUCUUUGAGACAGGGUUUCUCUGAGUAGCUCUGGCUAUCCUGAAACUUGUAGAUCAGGCUGACCUGGAACUUAUAUAUCCAUCUACCUCUGCCUCCCAAGUGCUGGGAUUAAAGGUGUGGGCCUUGCCAGACACCCGCUGCUGUUCCUGAUAGGGUUGGAGUAGAAGAGGACCUCUCCAUGUGCUCUGUGCAGUUCCUCUAGCUGGGGAACUCCCUCUGGGUUCUCACUGAGUUGUUUUCCCAUACAUGGGAUGAGUUUUAUCACCAAACUUUCAAGAGAGAGAGGUUGCCUUGGCCUGGGAGGUUUUGUUUGUAAAACCUCUUUGAUAGCUGGGGGAAUGGUCAGAAGUAAAAAAACAUCCAAAUUUAUACAGUGUUACCAGAGGACUUAAAGAGAUGGAGGUACCAGCAGCAGGCAGGACUUCAUGAAAACCCCGUUGCUUGCUAAGGUGGUCAUGUGACUAUGCUCUGGCUUUGGGGUGUAUAUACAUUUGCUGUGUGGAAGCAGGAUAUAGUUGUGAAGGAAGUGCUGUAGCUAUGUUAGUGGAUCAUGAGGAUGAAACCAAGUCAUGGAGAAGGCAGAGGGUGAGCUGGGUCUCAGAGGGUCCUUAUAUCCUGUAUACUGUGUACAUACGUAGAAUGGAUGUAUAUAUAAUGCAUGAAUGUAUGUAUAUGUAAUAUAUGUAGAAAGACAUUCAUUGUAUACAUGUGUAUAUAUACAAAUAUAAAAAUUUCAUUUUGUUCUUGUUUGAUGUAUGUAUGUAUGUAUGUAUGUAUGUAUGUGUACUACAUGUGUGUAGUGCCUGUGGAGGCCAGAAGAGGGUAUUGAAUCUCUUGGAACCAGAGUUCCAGUUGGCUGUAAGCCUCCGUGGUAGGUGCCUGUGUGCUGAACCUGGUCCUCAGUAAGAGCAGCAAGUGGCCUUAACCACUGCGCCACCUUUCCAGUCCCUAUUUGAUUUUGAGACAGCACAUCCCUAUACAUUCCAGGCUGAACUUGAACUUGUCUUCCUCUUGCCUCAGCCUCUCUAGUGCUAGAAUUUCAGGCAUGUGCCACCAUGCCCAGCAGGAGAGAAACAAGUUUAAUCUUGUUUCAGUGAUUGCCUUUAAGUUCUAUAAUGGUAGCUGCACUAAUCCCACCCAUCAACAGAUAACAAGCAGUAAGGACUGUUAACUGGAGGCCACAGGGUGCCAUGGCCACAAACAGUGUGGAGCUGUCUCAGUCCUCCCUCACCCGAUUUUUUGAGAGCAGCAAUUGGAUGAACUCUUUUUAGACGCCA
Molecule: long non-coding RNA, 3250 nt
Filed under: Mus musculus (house mouse)
Lineage: Eukaryota; Metazoa; Chordata; Mammalia; Rodentia; Muridae
Description: predicted gene, 34721
Source: RNAcentral